This is a long non-coding RNA of Brassica napus (rape), 1235 nucleotides long. RefSeq lists it as uncharacterized. NCBI's taxonomy places the organism in Eukaryota, Viridiplantae, Streptophyta, Magnoliopsida, Brassicales, Brassicaceae. The record is from RefSeq and is a predicted model, not a curated record. The transcript is spliced from 2 exons.
UUUUUCUAUAUCAUGUAUUGGAUAUGUAAAAAACUAAAAAUUGGAUAUGUAAAAAACUAAAAAUUAUGGGUAUUUGGGAAAGUGUAUAGUGUUUGGUGGUGGACCUGGUGGCAGUCUCGAUAAAAUGUAGCUUCGACUAGGGAGCACAUGUUUUUGGUCAGACCAUCCCUAAAGAUUAUUAUUAUAUCAACAAAGAAAAAGGUUCAUUUAUAUCAGUUGUGAAGCAGCCGUAAAUAAUAUACCUAAAAUAUGUUGCCUCUCCCAAAAGAAACCGUACAUAUGGUAAAAUAAUAGUAACACCAAAUAAUUUGAUUGUUGAUUAAAAGAAUAAAGACACUAGUUCACGUCCGAACAUGGAAUACGGCGAGUUUAUGUUAACGAUGUCAUUGUUAUAUUUGAGAAAACAAAUAAGUUUUCCAGAAUUUCUGAUUACUAAUCUCACUCCUAUGUCAUGUUUGCCUUCUAAUGAUGUUUUGAAUGGUAAUGCAUGUGUGUUUGUUGCAGUUGAGCUUCAAACGAUACAAUCGCGUGAAACACAUGUAAUCACAUUCACAAAAUUUUGUCACUAACAUCACUUUUUUUUUUCUUGUACAUGUGAAAUGUACUUAGACACAUUUUGAUCGGAUACAGCCAUACGUCAUCAUAGAACUGGAUUUCUAAUUGCUUAGAAUUAAAUUCUAAAGGUAACUACCAAAGUUUUUAAACUAAAUGAAGUGCUUUAUGACAGUUGUAUUUAGUGCCCACAGAAAUAACUUUGGAGAGAGGGAGAGAGAGAGACACUGAAGCUGAGGUUUGCAAGGAGGCUUCUCGUUUCUCUCAGACGAAACGAAUAAAGAACAAAAAACAAAGAUGAGAGAAAUCCACAAAAGUAGAAGAAAUCAAACAAUGGAGGGUACUGAUUAUUACUGCAACAAUGGUGGGGUUUCAAGAAGAGCGUUUUUUGUUAGGGAAGAAGAAAAAUGAGCCUCAAUACUCUUCCAUGUUGUUGAUCAGAUUCAUUUCGUCAGUAUGUUUUUAAUCUGUUUCUUUUAUUGAUAAAGAUUAGUGUAGUGGUAUUGGCAGAAUGGCUCAAUCUCCUUGUCACACAUUAUCACGUCACGUGAUACACUCUUCUUUCCCUCUCUUUAAUUUUAUUUUUGACGUAUGGUUUUCAUACCUCAUUUAUCAAGAAAACAACUUGUUUUGCUUCUUGCCGAAAGCAAAUUUAAGAACUAAAUAAAAAUAGCUUUUUCAUA